GUAAACGAUGAGAACUAAGUGUUGGAGAAAUUCAGUGCUGCAGUUAACGCAAUAAGUAAUCCGCCUGGGGAGUAUGCACGCAAGUGUAAAACUCAAAGGAAUUGACGGGGGCCCGCACAAGCGGUGGAGUAUGUGGUUUAAUUCGACGCAACGCGAAGAACCUUACCAAGUCUUGACAUACCAUUAAAGGCUCUAGAGAUAGAGAGAUAGUUAUAGUGGAUACAGGUGGUGCAUGGUUGUCGUCAGCUCGUGUCGUGAGAUGUUGGGUUAAGUCCCGCAACGAGCGCAACCCUUGUCUUUAGUUACCAUCAUUCAGUUGGGGACUCUAAAGAGACUGCCGGUGACAAACCGGAGGAAGGUGGGGAUGACGUCAAAUCAUCAUGCCCCUUAUGACUUGGGCUACACACGUCCUACAAUGGCGACUACAAAGGGCAGCAAGACAGUGAUGUUGAGCGAAUCCCACAAAGGUCGUCUCAGUUCGGAU
RNAcentral lists this ribosomal RNA (484 nucleotides) under uncultured bacterium. RNAcentral's name for it is "bacterial SSU rRNA". It matches the Rfam family "Bacterial small subunit ribosomal RNA", at positions 802 to 1298 of the family's 1533-position model. The record is from RNAcentral.